CGGGGCGUAGCGCAGCGGUAGCGCACCUGGUUUGGGACCAGGGGGUCGGCAGUUCGAGUCUGCCCGCCCCGA
This 72-nucleotide transfer RNA is filed under the name Chloroflexota bacterium. RNAcentral's name for it is "Chloroflexi bacterium tRNA-Pro". It matches the Rfam family "tRNA". From Rfam's summary of the family: Transfer RNA (tRNA) molecules are approximately 80 nucleotides in length. Lineage: Bacteria; Bacillati; Chloroflexota. The record is from RNAcentral.